GUAGUCCACGCUGUAAACGAUGGGUACUAGGUUUGGUGGGUCUUGACCCCCGCCGAACCGGCGCUAACGCAAUAAGUACCCCGCCUGGGAAGUACGGUCGCAAGACUAAAACUCAAAGGAAUUGACGGGGGCCCGCACAAGCGGUGGAUCAUGUGGUUUAAUUCGAAGCAACGCGAAGAACCUUACCUGGAUUUGACAUCCUCUGACAACCCUAGAGAUAGGGCUUCUGUAGCAAUACAGCAGAGAGACAGGUGCUGCAUGGCUGUCGUCAGCUCGUGUGGUGACAUGUUGGGUUAAGUCCCGCAACGAGCGCAACCCUUGUCCUUAGUUGCCAGCAUUCAGUUGGGCUCUCUAAGGAGACUGCCGUGGUUAACACGGA
Molecule: ribosomal RNA, 379 nt
Filed under: uncultured bacterium
Lineage: Bacteria
Description: bacterial SSU rRNA
Rfam family: Bacterial small subunit ribosomal RNA
Source: RNAcentral